This 338-nucleotide unclassified non-coding RNA is filed under the name Sebacina sp. RNAcentral describes it as "partial contains 5.8S ribosomal RNA, internal transcribed spacer 2, and large subunit ribosomal RNA". The stretch from base 1 to 71 matches the Rfam family "5.8S ribosomal RNA", at positions 84 to 154 of the family's 154-position model. Lineage: Eukaryota; Fungi; Basidiomycota; Agaricomycetes; Sebacinales; Sebacinaceae. The record is from RNAcentral.
GUGAGUCAUCGAAUCUUUGAACGCACCUUGCACCCUUUGGUAUUCCGAAGGGUAUGCUCGUUUGAGUGUCAUUGUACUCUCACACUCUCUGAUCCAUUGGAUUUCAGGAGCGGUGGACUUGGGUGUUGCUGCUUUCCUAAGUGGCUCACCUCAAAUGCAUUAGUGCACCUCUUGGUUGGACAUAGUACGGCGUGAUAAGUGUCUUCGCCGGCACCUCGAAAGAGGGUGGCUGAUUGGGAGCUCUGUGCUUUCAAACUGUCUUCGGACAAUCUCUGACAACUUGACCUCAAAUCGAGUAGGACUACCCGCUGAACUUAAGCAUAUCAAUAAGCGGAGGA